Molecule: ribosomal RNA, 431 nt
Filed under: uncultured Bifidobacterium sp.
Lineage: Bacteria; Bacillati; Actinomycetota; Actinomycetes; Bifidobacteriales; Bifidobacteriaceae
Description: bacterial SSU rRNA
Rfam family: Bacterial small subunit ribosomal RNA
Source: RNAcentral
CUGGGAAAGAUUCAUCGGUAUGGGAUGGGGUCGCGUCCUAUCAGCUUGAUGGCGGGGUAACGGCCCACCAUGGCUUCGACGGGUAGCCGGCCUGAGAGGGCGACCGGCCACAUUGGGACUGAGAUACGGCCCAGACUCCUACGGGAGGCAGCAGUGGGGAAUAUUGCACAAUGGGCGCAAGCCUGAUGCAGCGACGCCGCGUGCGGGAUGACGGCCUUCGGGUUGUAAACCGCUUUUGACUGGGAGCAAGCCCUUCGGGGUGAGUGUACCUUUCGAAUAAGCACCGGCUAACUACGUGCCAGCAGCCGCGGUAAUACGUAGGGUGCAAGCGUUAUCCGGAAUUAUUGGGCGUAAAGGGCUCGUAGGCGGUUCGUCGCGUCCGGUGUGAAAGUCCAUCGCUUAACGGUGGAUCCGCGCCGGGUACGGGCGGG